This 253-nucleotide ribosomal RNA is filed under the name uncultured bacterium. Its description in RNAcentral is "partial 16S ribosomal RNA". It matches the Rfam family "Bacterial small subunit ribosomal RNA", at positions 524 to 776 of the family's 1533-position model. The record is from RNAcentral.
UACGAAGGGGGCUAGCGUUGUUCGGAAUUACUGGGCGUAAAGCGCACGUAGGCGGCUCGAUCAGUCAGGGGUGAAAUGCCAGGGCUCAACCUUGGAACUGCCUUUGAUACUGGAGACCUUGAGUCCGGGAGAGGUGAGUGGAAUUGCGAGUGUAGAGGUGAAAUUCGUAGAUAUUCGCAAGAACACCAGUGGCGAAGGCGGCUCACUGGCCCGGAACUGACGCUGAGACGCGAAAGCGUGGGGAGCAAACAGG